AUUGGUGUUUAAUAGAGAUAAGGUUUACCUUUUUCCAUUCCGAACAAAGAAGUAAAAAUUAUCUUCGCCGAUGGUACUAAUUAAAAAUUGGAAGAGUAGGUAAUGCCAAUU
RNAcentral lists this ribosomal RNA (111 nucleotides) under Candidatus Shikimatogenerans bostrichidophilus. Lineage: Bacteria; Pseudomonadati; Bacteroidota; Flavobacteriia; Flavobacteriales. The record is from RNAcentral.